UACCCCCCUCCCUCUUCUUCAUUUCUUCACUCAAAAUUCUGAUCUCAAUCUCAAUUCUCAAUUUCUCUCUUCCCUUCAAUUUGCAAGAUUUCAUCUUCUAAUUUUAUAAUUUUUAUUUGGCUCUCUUUUCUUGAAUUUAAUAUAUCGAAAAUUGUCAUUCGAAAUUUGAAGUUUGAAGUUCAAAAUUGAUAUACUUGCUUGACGUUUGUUCGUUGUAACACCGGAAUUGCGUAAUCAAGUGCUCAAUUUAUUGU
Molecule: long non-coding RNA, 254 nt
Filed under: Nicotiana benthamiana
Lineage: Eukaryota; Viridiplantae; Streptophyta; Magnoliopsida; Solanales; Solanaceae
Description: long non-coding RNA (NBEN_LNC039952)
Source: RNAcentral